This 484-nucleotide ribosomal RNA is filed under the name uncultured bacterium. RNAcentral describes it as "partial 16S ribosomal RNA". It matches the Rfam family "Bacterial small subunit ribosomal RNA", at positions 30 to 507 of the family's 1533-position model. The record is from RNAcentral.
AUUGAACGCUAGCGGGAUGCUUUACACAUGCAAGUCGAACGGCAGCGCGGACUUCGGUCUGGCGGCGAGUGGCGAACGGGUGAGUAAUGUAUCGGAACGUGCCCAGUAGCGGGGGAUAACUACGCGAAAUCGUAGCUAAUACCGCAUACGCCCUACGGGGGAAAGCAGGGGAUCGUAAGACCUUGCACUAUUGGAGCGGCCGAUAUCGGAUUAGCUAGUUGGCGAGGUAACGGCUCACCAAGGCGACGAUCCGUAGCUGGUUUGAGAGGACGACCAGCCACACUGGGACUGAGACACGGCCCAGACUCCUACGGGAGGCAGCAGUGGGGAAUUUUGGACGAUGGGGGCAAGCCUGAUCCAGCCAUCCCGCGUGUGCGAUGAAGGACUUCGGGUUGUAAAGCACUUUUGGCAGGAAAGAAACGUCGCGGGCUAAUACCCCGUGGAACUGACGGUACCUGCAGAAUAAGCACCGGCUAACUACGUG